AACGCACCUUGCGCUCCCGGCAGAUCUAAUCUGGGGAGCAUGCCUGUUUGAGGGCCGCGAAUUGUUUCGAACGACCGCUUUUUUCUUGUAAGAAGGUGGACGGAUCGGUAUUGAGGACUCUGCCAUUCACCGUGGCUUCCUCGAAAAGCAUGAGCGCAUCCAUUUGAUAGGCGAGACGGACGAAAGCUUGUAUUUUCGCUCUGUUCUUACCUGCCGGGUUUUGAUAAUAUCAGGACUUCGGAGGCCAAGACAGAGUUCGAGCUGGACGCAACGACUUGCUGGCUGGAGUGCUUCUAACCCCGCCCAUGCCUGCAAAGGAAGGGAUUUUUUUUUUUUUUUCAAUUCAUCGGCCUCAGAUUGGUAGGACUACCCGCUGAACUUAA
This 383-nucleotide unclassified non-coding RNA is filed under the name uncultured fungus. RNAcentral describes it as "partial contains 5.8S ribosomal RNA, internal transcribed spacer 2, and large subunit ribosomal RNA". Lineage: Eukaryota; Fungi. The record is from RNAcentral.